GACGAACGCUGGCGGCGUGCUUAACACAUGCAAGUCGAACGGAAAGGCCCUGCUUUUGUGGGGUUCUCGAGUGGCGAACGGGUGAGUAACACGUGAGUAACCUGCCCUUGACUUUGGGAUAACUUCAGGAAACUGGGGCUAAUACCGGAUAGGAGCUCCUGCUGCAUGGUGGGUGUUGGAAAGUUUCGGCGGUUGGGGAUGGACUCGCGGCUUAUCAGCUUGUUGGUGGGGUAGUGGCUUACCAAGGCUUUGACGGGUAGCCGGCCUGAGAGGGUGACCGGCCACAUUGGGACUGAGAUACGGCCCAGACUGCUACGGGAGGCAGCAGUGGGGAAUAUUGCACAAUGGGCGGAAGCCUGAUGCAGCAACGCCGCGUGCGGGAUGACGGCCUUCGGGGUGUAACCCGCUUUCGCCUGUGACGAAGCGUGAGUGACGGUAAUGGGUAAAGAAGCACCGGCUAACUACGUG
This 468-nucleotide ribosomal RNA is filed under the name uncultured bacterium. RNAcentral's name for it is "partial 16S ribosomal RNA". It matches the Rfam family "Bacterial small subunit ribosomal RNA", at positions 28 to 507 of the family's 1533-position model. The record is from RNAcentral.